UUUACUGUGAGGCUCACAAUCAACACGGAUCUCAGAGAUCAGACGCUGUUACUGUCAUUGUUAAAGGAUGUCUGGUGAUGUUGUACAUAUCCAUUGGAGUGGUUUGUGGAGCUGCAGUUAUCAUCACAGUGUUGCUGAUUUGGAGAAGCAGGGUGAAAAAGAGAAAAGACAAAC
Long non-coding RNA from Cyprinus carpio (common carp), 174 nucleotides. RefSeq lists it as uncharacterized. The transcript is spliced from 3 exons. The record is from RefSeq and is a predicted model, not a curated record. Lineage: Eukaryota; Metazoa; Chordata; Actinopteri; Cypriniformes; Cyprinidae.